RNAcentral lists this long non-coding RNA (1376 nucleotides) under Anser brachyrhynchus (Pink-footed goose). Its description in RNAcentral is "lncRNA (ENSABRG00000023160.1)". The record is from RNAcentral. Lineage: Eukaryota; Metazoa; Chordata; Aves; Anseriformes; Anatidae.
AUCCAAACAUCUUCUCUGAAUGGAAAUCUGUCAUCAUGAGUUAACCAUAAAUGCAUGUUAGGUUAUGCUGCUGUCUUCCCCACAACCUGCUCAGCUGUCUGGUAUAAUGCCCAGUGCUGAAGACAGGUUCCAUACAACGCUACUACUUGAGAGCAGGUAUAACAUGGACCAACAAUGGGACACAAUGGUCAUUAACUUCCUACUUUUCCUACAAACCUCAUCUAAAGGACGCAGUGAGGGAAAGAUAAUUCACAGCUGGGAUACCUUUGAUUUCCUCAGCUGCCACUUCAUAUCAGAAAAUCUUAAGAAUCAGGAAAGGCUUGCUCUCUUCUUAGUCUGCUUGACAUCUAAAGGAUGUGAUAUUGGACAGUUACAAAUGAACCUUUGGCUUGAGGGGAGACAUCAGGCUGACUGAGUGUUGCUGUAUAGACAUAAAUUGCAAAGACAAGAAAGAUCAGAAGUCCAGAAAGAAAGCCAAGAAAGAGUCCUAAAUAUUUAGCUCCUGUGAAAGGCAAGUUUGUUUUUGUGUCAUGGACUACUUCAUAAAUAUAUGUUAAAUUUCCUUGAUAAAUUUUGCUUUUAUAUGAAGCAUGAUGACUUCUUCAGUCUUAGCUUUAGCUGCAAUCCUAACUCGGGCUAACAGGUAGGUUCUGUAAAGGUGUGGAGACAGCUACAAAUGAAGAACAUCACCAUUCAUUGCUAGGCAGUGUGGCACCCCAAAUUGCCAUCACCUUCAGGCACAUGCGCUGAAUUUGGUGCUUCACAGGGGUGGUUGGGAGCCUGUGGCAAGCUGGGAAAAUAAGAGACAGUGCACAGAAGGAAGGCUGCAAAUCUUUCAUGUUUUCAAAGUUUGAGCCCUUCCAACUUAAGACAUUCAUCUGAUUCUUGCUAUACUGAAUCACAUAUACACCAGAAAGAGAGAGAGAGAGAGGUAGUCUCAGGAGCAAUGGGGUUGUUGGGAGUAGGAAGAGAAGAGAGCAACUUGUGAGUUCCUUAUUUUCAUAGGCCAUUAAAGCUGAGCAAUGCUCUCUGAGCUGUCUGCCAACUACAUGCUGAAUUCUUGGGUUCCGGGCUCAGCGUUUGAAAUGCCAUCAUGGCCUGUUAUUAGCUAUUGAAAGCUUUCUCUUAAUGGCUGCAACAGAACCUUGCUCAUUAGCAGAGACUCUUGCUGUGCUUUCUCAGGGCAGAUGCAGCUAUAUUUAUAAAGAGUCCAGUUAGGUACUCCUCAAGCUGGUCUCACCAAAACUGUGUUAAAUGGUAAAAUGAGCCCUUGGCAACAAGAGUUGCUAGUGUCUGUCAGAAGUGAGGUUUGUUUAAAUUAUUUGGAAAAAGGGGGGUAGAUGCUGCUUAAAUAAAUACUCUCCUCCCAUGAAACA